GUGGCUGUAGUUUAGUGGUGAGAGUUCCACGUUGUGGCCGUGGAGAACUGGGCUCGAAUCCUAGCAGCCACA
RNAcentral lists this transfer RNA (72 nucleotides) under Triticum aestivum (bread wheat). It matches the Rfam family "tRNA". Rfam says of the family: Transfer RNA (tRNA) molecules are approximately 80 nucleotides in length. Their secondary structure includes four short double-helical elements and three loops (D, anti-codon, and T loops). The record is from Rfam by way of RNAcentral. Lineage: Eukaryota; Viridiplantae; Streptophyta; Magnoliopsida; Poales; Poaceae.